AGUAGCUGGGAAGAAAGUUUCUAUUUCUCUACAUAAAUUGAAGGGGAAAAAGGAAAAAAAAAACUUAUCAAAAGAAUGGGGGGAAUGCAUGGGACUACGUAACUGUCUGAGUCUGACCAGCAUCCUUUAUUCAAGACAAAUGUGGGAGUCCUGAGCAUUUUAUGCAAUUAAGACGUGAAUACUGAGGAAAAGAAAAUUGAUGAAAGUUGGGAAGUUGUACAUAGCAGAGCUUUGUUCCUUGUUACUUGUUGAUGUCUUGUUUUUUCUUCCUACCUUAGUUGGCAUUUUAGUAAGAUUUGUUUUCCCUUUUGUUCUCAUCUAGGUUAUCAUUCGAUCUUUUGAUAUACAAGCUUCUACUUUAUUUUUAUGCAAGUCUCCAAAUUCUGUGUUAUCCUUGGAUGACUUCUUUCUUUACAUUUCUUGCAUUGACAAAUUUUUUCCCCUUUAUUGUAGGGCAAUGGGGGAUGUAUCUGAU
This 475-nucleotide unclassified non-coding RNA is filed under the name Hevea brasiliensis (rubber tree). Lineage: Eukaryota; Viridiplantae; Streptophyta; Magnoliopsida; Malpighiales; Euphorbiaceae. The record is from RNAcentral.